CCUACGGGUGGCAGCAGUGGGGAAUAUUGGGCAAUGGGCGAAAGCCUGAUCCAGCCAUGCCGCGUGUGUGAAGAAGGCCUUCGGGUUGUAAAGCACUUUCAGUGGGGAAGAAAGCCUUGGGGCUAAUACCCUCGAGGAAGGACAUCACCCACAGAAGAAGCACCGGCUAACUCCGUGCCAGCAGCCGCGGUAAUACGGAGGGUGCGAGCGUUAAUCGGAAUUACUGGGCGUAAAGCGCGCGUAGGCGGUCUGAUAAGCCGGUUGUGAAAGCCCCGGGCUCAACCUGGGAACGGCAUCCGGAACUGUCAGGCUAGAGUGCAGGAGAGGAAGGUAGAAUUCCCGGUGUAGCGGUGAAAUGCGUAGAGAUCGGGAGGAAUACCAGUGGCGAAGGCGGUCUUCUGGACUGACACUGACGCUGAGGUGCGAAAGCGUGGGUAGCAAACAGGAUUAGAUACCCCAGUAGUC
Molecule: ribosomal RNA, 465 nt
Filed under: Vreelandella stevensii
Lineage: Bacteria; Pseudomonadati; Pseudomonadota; Gammaproteobacteria; Oceanospirillales; Halomonadaceae
Description: partial 16S ribosomal RNA
Rfam family: Bacterial small subunit ribosomal RNA
Source: RNAcentral